GACUUGACGGAAGCUUGCUUCCGUUCAAGUUAGCGGCGGACGGGUGAGUAACACGUGGGUAACCUGCCUGUAAGACUGGGAUAACUCCGGGAAACCGGGGCUAAUACCGGAUAUUCUUUUUCUUCGCAUGAAGAAGAAUGGAAAGGCGGCUUUUAGCUGUCACUUACAGAUGGACCCGCGGCGCAUUAGCUAGUUGGUGAGGUAACGGCUCACCAAGGCAACGAUGCGUAGCCGACCUGAGAGGGUGAUCGGCCACACUGGGACUGAGACACGGCCCAG
RNAcentral lists this ribosomal RNA (279 nucleotides) under Pseudobacillus badius. Its description in RNAcentral is "Bacillus badius partial 16S rRNA". It matches the Rfam family "Bacterial small subunit ribosomal RNA", at positions 68 to 334 of the family's 1533-position model. Lineage: Bacteria; Bacillati; Bacillota; Bacilli; Caryophanales; Bacillaceae. The record is from RNAcentral.